RNAcentral lists this long non-coding RNA (1948 nucleotides) under Hordeum vulgare. Its description in RNAcentral is "long non-coding RNA (HVUL_LNC017461)". The record is from RNAcentral. Lineage: Eukaryota; Viridiplantae; Streptophyta; Magnoliopsida; Poales; Poaceae.
GGAUUAGGGAAAUCAAUUUGAGAAAACAUUGGAAAUCAAUACGGUUCGUGCCAUACUAACUGACCCUAGAAACCUCAUAGCGCAAAAUCAAUCACGCAAAUUUUACUGUGCACAACCAUUCACAUAGAAAAUCAAGAUCCGAUCUAGUGGUAGCUAACAACGCGUGGAACAGGAGGGGGAAACGAAGGGAGGUCAUGCGCAUGUUUACCUUGGGUGAUGCACGAUCCCAGACGCACGGAUGGACAAAGAUCUUGACUGAGACUUCAUGAAUCUUAGAGCAACCAUCAUUCAAACGGACACAAAUCUCGACUGAGACUUAGUUAAAACUCACUAAACUAAGUUUUCACAAUCGCGUAACCCUGUUAAUAAGAUUUCAGCUAUCACAACCAACAUUUACUUACAAAUCGGUUGGUGGAUAUGCAACUAUGAAUGAUACUUUUUGUAAAGUUGGUAGGAAACUUUUUGCAAAAAAAGGGACGACUACAAAUUUCGAAAAGAAAUAGCAAAAUCAAAUAAAAGGGAACACAUAAAUAAACAAGUUAUGUCGAUGUUCAUGUGCGAAACAAUCCCAUGGCCUUUUGUGGCGAGGCACUUUUGUGUAUGGUGAGCCUAGAGCCCGUUAAAGGCAUCCUAUUUUUUUAUUUUUUUGAAAAAGGAGGAUAUCCCCUACCUCUCCAUUAGCAUGAUGCAUACAACCAUAUUAUUAAGAAAAAAUCCAACAAUCUCCGUGCUCAAGUACGAGCUCCAUCUGAGCUAAAAUGAAAAUAAUUGAGAACAUAAAGAUGUAGAAUGCCACAUCGAGCAAAAAUAAGAUGAGAUGACUAAACACCUAGCCUAUUACUGUCUGGUCAUCCAAACUGAUUGUAGUUAUCAUAAGCUACAAUCUCCCAUCGGAUAGACUCAGUAACCAAAAGCUUCCUGGCUCCCGCAUGAGUGAGUAGCAACCACACACGGAUCCAACCAGUGACCUUGUAGAUUAUAUGCAAAAAAUCAAUCUGAGUUUGUGUGUUAAAAACCAUAUCAUUUCUAAAGUUCCAUAUAGCCCAAAAUAACACACAUACUCCUAUGUGAAUAUGUGUCGCAAUAGUUGGAUCAACCCAUUUAGCCACGUCCCGAAUAACAUGUCAAUAUUAUUUGAAGGUUUAAUAUUAAAGGCUAUAUGAAGUGAAAGUCAUAAUAUUGUAACCAUCGGACACUCGAGAAAGAGGUGUUUAAUCAUUUCAUCAUGAUCCCAACAACAACAUCGUUGACUGCCUACCAACUACCCUUUUCCAAGUUAUCCUUAGUCAGAAUCAUCUCCUUGUGAACAAUCGACAUAAAAACUUUGAUUCUUAGGGCCACUUUAAUCUUCUAAAUAUGUGUCAAUUUCAUGAUUUAAUCAGAGUUGAUUAGGUGUGACAUACAUGGAUUUCAGUGAAAACGAUCCAUUCACCAAUAGUUUUCGCUCAUCAGAUAGGUGCAAGUCCAUCAACAUGUAGCCAAGCAUUCCAUCAGUCUCCUACUACCGAGCUUCUGAAUUGAAUAUUGAGAGAUGCACACUGUAAUACUAUAGCAACAUAUGUGUCCUUAUGCUGCAUAAUAUUAUAUAAGAACGUAUAUUAUAUGGCCAACGACGUCUUCCCUAGCCACGCAUCCUUCCAAAAUCUAGUAGAAUGAUCGUUUCCAAUGAUGAAUUUCGCCCUCCUAAAGAAAAUCACUUUCACAUUAAUCAACCCCUUCCAGAAAAGUGAAUCAUUGGGUCUAACAGUGACUUGGGCCAAAGUUUUAGACCGAAGGUACUUGUCUCAUAAUAACUGCACCCACAUGCUUUCAGUCUCAACAUAAAGCCUAUAUUGUCACUGCUUAGUAAUUAAGCAUCUUUGUUUUACCUCUAAAUUCUCAAUGCCUAGCCCCACUAGUCCUUGGGUUGAUAAAUUAUACCCUUUAUUUUUAAAUAGCUACAAUCCAC